AGGACGAACGCUGGCGGCGUGCCUAACACAUGCAAGUCGAACGAAGUAUGUUUUUCGGAAUGUACUUAGUGGCGGACGGGUGAGUAACGCGUGAAUAAUCUGCCCCAUACAGGGGGAUAGCCUCGGGAAACCGGGAUUAAAACCGCAUGAUGCUUUUUUAUCGCAUGGUAGAGAAGUCAAAUCGAAUAAGAGGUAUGGGAUGAGUUCGCGUCUGAUUAGCUGGUUGGCGGGGUAAGAGCCCACAAAGGCGACGAUCAGUAGCCGGCCUGAGAGGGUGACCGGCCACACUGGAACUGAGACACGGUCCAGACUCCUACGGGAGGCAGCAAGUGGGGAAUAUUGCACAAUGGAGGGAACUCUGAUGCAGCGACGCCGCGUGAGUGAAGAAGGUCUUCGGAUCGUAAAACUCUGUCCUUGGUGACGAAAAAAUGACGGUAGCCAAGGAG
This 446-nucleotide ribosomal RNA is filed under the name uncultured prokaryote. Its description in RNAcentral is "bacterial SSU rRNA". It matches the Rfam family "Bacterial small subunit ribosomal RNA", at positions 26 to 486 of the family's 1533-position model. The record is from RNAcentral.